ACUAAUAUUCUGGUAAAACCUAAUAUCUCCAACUCUCCAUCUUCAUCGUCCCCAAAACGACAAAACCUAAUAUUUAGAAACGGCAAUUGCUCAUCUGAUUCUGAUUCUGGUAAAAAAUGUUUCCAUAUUUCCGUUACAAGUUAUAUUUCCAUAUUUCCAUACAAGUUAUUCAAUAUUUCCGUAAAAAAUGUUGAGGUACCUCUUGGCUCUUUCCAUCGAAAAAAAUGUUGUGUACCUCAGGUUUUUGAAGUUUUCUUUUAGUGUAAACUCAGCGAUUCUGGACUAUAAUACAGGGCAGCCAAAAGAAUUAGAGUUGAUUUUGAUCAUAGGCUAUUUAUAUUUACAUUUCCUCAACGAAAAAAUGUUUGAUCAUAUUCCAGAUCUUUUAAAUAGACAGUUCUCUGUGAAGAGCAUUUUAGCUAAUCUUUGUUGUGGAUGUUUCUGAUGGUUUACUUCUUCUAAUAAGUUUCUAACAUAGUGGUUUGUAAUCUAAUAAUAGCCCACUAUACUGCAUUACUGCC
This 521-nucleotide long non-coding RNA is filed under the name Zostera marina. RNAcentral describes it as "long non-coding RNA (ZMAR_LNC002725)". The record is from RNAcentral. Lineage: Eukaryota; Viridiplantae; Streptophyta; Magnoliopsida; Alismatales; Zosteraceae.